Molecule: transfer RNA, 90 nt
Organism: Macrophomina phaseolina MS6
Lineage: Eukaryota; Fungi; Ascomycota; Dothideomycetes; Botryosphaeriales; Botryosphaeriaceae
Rfam family: tRNA
About the family: Transfer RNA (tRNA) molecules are approximately 80 nucleotides in length.
Source: Rfam
GCCCGGCUAGCUCAAUCGGUAGAGCGUGAGACUCUUAAAACACUCUAGAGUGUUAUCUCAAGGCUGCGGGUUCGACCCCCGCGUUGGGCU